This 274-nucleotide ribosomal RNA is filed under the name uncultured bacterium. Its description in RNAcentral is "partial 16S ribosomal RNA". It matches the Rfam family "Bacterial small subunit ribosomal RNA", at positions 523 to 796 of the family's 1533-position model. The record is from RNAcentral.
AUACGGAGGAUGCGAGCGUUAUCCGGAUUUAUUAGGGUUAAAGGGUGUGUAGGCGGUAUUUUAAGUCAGUGGUGAAAUCUUUCAGCUUAACUGAGAAACUGCCAUUGAUACUGGAAUACUUGAGUAUAGUUGAGGUAGGCGGAAUAUGUAAUGUAGCGGUGAAAUGCAUAUAUAUUACAUAGAACACCGAUUGCGAAGGCAGCUUACCAAACUAUUACUGACGCUGAUGCACGAAAGCGUGGGGAGCGAACAGGAUUAGAAACCCUAGUAGUCC